RNAcentral lists this ribosomal RNA (518 nucleotides) under uncultured bacterium. RNAcentral's name for it is "bacterial SSU rRNA". It matches the Rfam family "Bacterial small subunit ribosomal RNA", at positions 10 to 518 of the family's 1533-position model. The record is from RNAcentral.
AGGUCGAUCUGGCUCAGAACGAACGCUGGCGGCGCGUCUUAAGCAUGCAAGUCGAACGGCAAGAGGUAGCAAUACCUCCUAGAGUGGCGGACUGGUGAGUAACACGUGGGUGACAUACCCUUCAGAUGGGGAUAGCUAUUAGAAAUAGUAGAUAAUACCGAAUACGAGCACAGGGGUUAGAGAUCUGUGAGGAAAGGAGCUAAGGCUCCGCUGAAGGAAUGGCCUGCGGCCCAUUAGCUAGUUGGUGAGGUAAGAGCCCACCAAGGCGAUGAUGGGUAUCCGGCCUUAGAGGGUGAACGGACACAUUGGGACUGAGAUACGGCCCAGACUCCUACGGGAGGCAGCAGCUAAGAAUAUUCCGCAAUGGACGAAAGUCUGACGGAGCGACGCCGCGUGGAUGAAGAAGGCCGGAAGGUUGUAAAAUCCUUUUGAAACUGAAGAAUAAGCGUUGUAGGGAAUGACAGCGUGGUGACAGUAGGUUUUGAAUAAGCAACGGCUAAUUACGUGCCAGCAGCCGC